Molecule: ribosomal RNA, 402 nt
Filed under: uncultured bacterium
Lineage: Bacteria
Description: bacterial SSU rRNA
Rfam family: Bacterial small subunit ribosomal RNA
Source: RNAcentral
UGAGGAAUUUUUGCGCAAUGGCCGCAAGGCUGACGCAGCAACGCCGCGUGACCGAUUAAGCUCUGAGGAGUGUAAAGGUCUGUCGCAGAGGAAGAAACUGCCUGAUGAGAAUAUUGUCAGGUACUGACGGUACUCUGUGAGAAAGCUCCGGCUAACUCCGUGCCAGCAGCCGCGGUAAUACGGGGGGGAGCAAGCGUUGUCCGGAAUCACUGGGCGUAAAGAGCGUGUAGGUGUCCUAAUAAGUCUCUGGUGAAAGCCUUCUGCUUAACGGGAGAAUUGCCGGAGAUACUAUUGGGAUUGAGUUCAGAAGAGGGAAGCGGAAUUCCUGGUGUAGCGGUGAAAUGCGUAGAUAUCAGGAAGAACACCGGUGGCGAGGGCGGCUUCCGUGGUCUGAUACUGACA